CGACCUAGUCACUCUCCUUGGGGUGUUCUAGUGCCGGUUUUUGUGGAAAAGAAGGAUGGAUCCUUGCGGAUCAGAAGAGAAGAUCAGAGUAGCGCAGUGGAAGCAGGAGAAGUUUCAGGAGGAGGUUGAGGUAUUGCUUGAGGUGUCUCCUUUGAGAAGGGUGAUUCAUAAGGGAGAAAAUCCAUUCGGAUUUCCACGUUCCACUUUAUGAAAGUUCGUGUCAGAUCCAAGUAGGGUUCUUGAGGAACCAGAGGUGGAGGUCCCAAGGGAUCUCACCUGAGUUGAGCAGCUAUUGUGGAUCAUGGACACAUCAGUUAGUUAGUUUUGGAACAAGGAGAUUCAGAUGGAGAGGUCCUGUAGAAUCACCCCAGUUUGAGGAGUGUUCUUAGGAGAACCGGGAGUUUUGACUCCGGCGAUGCCGUGUCUCUUUUAGGAGAAAGUUUAGAGGUCUUGCUUGCUUGAUUGCUUGCUUGAUGUGUGUGUACGAUGAUAUGUUCUUAUGUUAUGUUUUUAUGCAUGAGUAGUUGAGGAACAUUCGGGGACGAAUGUUCUGUAAGGGGGGAAGAAUGUAAUACCCGGCUAGAAUCCGGCAUCGGGAUUCCUGCCUUCCGGCGGAAUCUAGGGUGUUGGAUCUCUCUAGAAGGGGUAAAAUGUGUU
RNAcentral lists this long non-coding RNA (657 nucleotides) under Manihot esculenta (cassava). Its description in RNAcentral is "long non-coding RNA (MESC_LNC010239)". Lineage: Eukaryota; Viridiplantae; Streptophyta; Magnoliopsida; Malpighiales; Euphorbiaceae. The record is from RNAcentral.